UAGAUAUAUUAUAUAUUUUAAUUAUAAACAUAAAACCUUGUUUGCACAGUGGUUAGCGGGUUUUAACCAUGAUAAAUCCACCCGGGUUUGAACCUCUUCCAGAGAUUUUUUGGUUGUUUUUAACUUUAAAACAUUAAUGAGGGGUAUAAUAGAUAUUACGUAAUCAUCUUCUUCCUUAUGUAUCUGCUGGAACCCUAACAUGGGGGCCGCCUCACUUUUUCUUUUUUCGUUUUUCAUUAUUUUCCUUCUUUUUCCUCUGUAUUUAUAGCCAAAAAUGAUAGAUUAAUCAGAAAACCUUCGAUUUUAAAGUUUAAAUGAACGAAAUCUUGAAUUUUUUAAGAUAGUCGAGUUUUUUCUCCGAUUAGCACCAAAUCGCGGCGGUUGGAGGCCGAGGAACGAUUUUCCGGCGAGUAAGCGGCCUUAGGCGCCGCGUUUUCGAACACGGGUAUGGAGUAUAUGUGUUGGCAAGAGGUAAAAGGAACCUAAAAUCUUAUCUAGUUCAAGUAUUCGAUAUUGACUUAGCAAUAAUGGCUGAUUGUGACUUUGUGAGUCACUCUCAUUUACUACCCAUAAAGAGCACAAUCAAUAACAAACAACAUUUAAAAGUUAGAGCUAUCUACUCUCCUUUAUUCCAGUAUAAUAAAUUCACAAAAUAGAUGAGAUUAAAUAUUUAUUGUAAGUCUAUAUUGAAUCUUAUACAUGAACAAUGUACAAGCAGAGGUUAUAUACAGACACUGAUACUAGGGUAUACCAUAGAAGUUAAUGACAAUAUAUUAUGUACAAUAAAUAAGAAUAUACGAAGAUCAAGCAUUGAUAGUGAUUGAUCUCUAAUACGUCCCCUCAAAAUGGAGGGGUUUGCACACUCCAAUCUUGCCAGCAAAUGAAAUGAAUGUUGGAUAUGGUAGGGGUUUGGUCAUAGCAUCUGCUAGCUGAUCCUCGGUUGAGACGUGUACCACUCGUAGUGUGCAUGACUUGACUUGGUUUCGAAUAAAAUUGUAGUCUAGCGCAACAUGCUUUAUUCUUGAAUGGAAGAUGGGAUUGACCCAUAAGUAGGUGGCUCCAUCAUAUGGCUGGUGGAAGGAGAGGCUUUCAAGGUCCGACAUAAUAUGGUGGGUUGUGCCCCUGUCCAUUAGCCAGUUGGUAGUAUUUUAGGAAGCAGUUACGGUGAGAUUAGCUCGAGGAUUUCAAGGCAUGAAUGGACUAACUUUCUGCUGACGAGGAGACUGAUAGCUUUUGAGUUGAGAGCAUUGCUUGGCACUGUUUCCUUGUGUGCCACAGAUCUGACAGCAUCCAAGUUGUUGCGCUGUUGUGCCAUAUUGGCUGUGACAAGAGUUGGUGAGACAAGAGCAUCCCUGAGGGAGAGGAGUUUGGCCUCGUGGUUUAGUAGGCGCUCAUGCAGCUCCGUGAUCAAUGGGGGAGCGUCCCUGCCUUCGAUCUGGUCUAUGACAUUUUUGUAAUCUUCUGGAAGUCCUUCGAGGAUGAGAUCGAUCUGGUCUUCGUGGUCAACUGCUUUCCCGAGAAUAGCUAGUCCAUCCAAACGAGUUGUGAUGCCUUGAAGGUUGAUGCAAGUGUGGUUCACACAUAAGAGGAGGUAGUGCAAUGCGAGACAUGAGGCUGGAGAGAUUGAGAGAUUACUCCUAGAAGUGCGCUAUAAAGGAGCUUGUCUUGAUGUUUCCACAAAGUGUAGGCCAGAUUUGUUGGAUGUGAUCAAGUCUUCAUCUUAUAUUAUUAGUUUAGAAGAUUCAUAUAUUAUAUAGUUAAGUAAUUAAUUUAUGUAUCGUAUCGUAUCACACACCGAACAGAUACAAAUAUAAUUGUUAACUGCAAAACAGUUACACAUGUGUAUGUACGUGUCUCUAUA
Molecule: long non-coding RNA, 1861 nt
Organism: Brassica napus (rape)
Lineage: Eukaryota; Viridiplantae; Streptophyta; Magnoliopsida; Brassicales; Brassicaceae
Exons: 3
Source: RefSeq, a predicted model, not a curated record